GACGAACGCUGGCGGCGUGCCUAACACAUGCAAGUCGAACGGAGUAGUUUCUUCGGAGAUUACUUAGUGGCGAACGGGUGAGUAACGCGUGAGAAACCUGCCUUUCAGUGGGGGACAACAGUUGGAAACGACUGCUAAUACCGCAUAAUGUUAUUUGGGGGCAUCCCCGAAUAACCAAAGCUUUAUGUGCUGAAAGAUGGUCUCGCGUCUGAUUAGCUAGUUGGUGAGGUAACGGCCCACCAAGGCGACGAUCGGUAGCCGGACUGAGAGGUUGAACGGCCACAUUGGGACUGAGACACGGCCCAGACUCCUACGGGAGGCAGCAGUGGGGGAUAUUGCACAAUGGGGGAAACCCUGAUGCAGCGAUGCCGCGUGAGGGAAGACGGUCUUCGGAUUGUAAACCUCUGUCCUUGGUGAAGAAACAUGACGGUAGCCAUGGAGGAAGCCACGGCUAACUACGUG
RNAcentral lists this ribosomal RNA (462 nucleotides) under uncultured bacterium. RNAcentral's name for it is "bacterial SSU rRNA". It matches the Rfam family "Bacterial small subunit ribosomal RNA", at positions 28 to 507 of the family's 1533-position model. The record is from RNAcentral.